Fukomys damarensis (Damara mole-rat) is the source of this 576-nucleotide long non-coding RNA. RefSeq lists it as uncharacterized. NCBI's taxonomy places the organism in Eukaryota, Metazoa, Chordata, Mammalia, Rodentia, Bathyergidae. The record is from RefSeq and is a predicted model, not a curated record. The transcript has 6 exons.
AACAGUUGCCAUGGGGAGAGACUUCUUCAACAGCAUCAGAGGCCUCACUAAUACAGCUGGAAUAUUCAAAUUUGGCCAGCAUAAGACUCAGGCACGACGGCUGGAGUUCAAUAGCUGCAUUGCAGCCCGAGGUGACACCAGGAGUGUAACCCACGUCUAUGACAGAAAAGCACGGAGUGGCCUUUAGAGGAUCCCUAUCCCAGCCCAAACCAGCAAACAAUGGCCUUUUGUUAGCAAAAAGAAGACUGUGGGCUCCUGUAACUGCGACCUAAAGUGAGGACCACGCUGGCGCCCGCUGACUUAGGACGCAGGCCUCCUCUGUUCCCGGAGGGCCCCCGCUGUCAGGCUGGCCUCUGGCGAUGUGGAAUCGUGGGUUAGAGACAAGAGUCUUUGCUGCAUACGACACAAUGAGUAAUGUGAGCUUCAGCGUGUUCACACUGGUUCCACUCGUCCCCAGUGCCAGAGGGAUGUCACAUAUCGGCCCAGAUGGAUAAUGAAACUAAAUCACCAAGAGUUUAAGAAAUUUACCGAAAAUCAUCCAGUGAAUUAAUAAUAGAGCCAGGCAUACUGGUUAAU